RNAcentral lists this transfer RNA (71 nucleotides) under Hominimerdicola alba 7 = DSM 20455. Its description in RNAcentral is "tRNA-Gln (CTG) (tRNA-Gln-CTG-2-1)". It matches the Rfam family "tRNA". Rfam says of the family: Transfer RNA (tRNA) molecules are approximately 80 nucleotides in length. Lineage: Bacteria; Bacillati; Bacillota; Clostridia; Eubacteriales; Oscillospiraceae. RNAcentral also lists the same sequence under 1 other name. The record is from RNAcentral.
UUCCGUUUCGUCUAGUGGUAGGACAUCGGUUUCUGACACCGAAAACGGGAGUUCAAAUCUCUCAGCGGAAA